GGGUCAACCUGUUUUAUUGAUUCCGGGUCUUUAACCGUUGGAUUUGGAUUCAGAAACCUUCUGUCUAUAAUAGAAGUUUCCGGGGCAUAGGUUUUUUCCCCAGAAAGGACCUUCACCCAUAAGUUGAAGGCAUAGAAUAAAGAGAAUGAAUCUCCCAUGAUGUUGGCCCAGCUCAGGCCCAAAGCUAAUCCUCUGCACUUAAACCGGGUCAUCUGCGGAUACAAACCGAGAUAAGGUUUUCUUGUCACUUAACACGUCCAUGAAUUACCAAGGAAAAUCAAACCCUGGGUGGAAACUCUAGUUGGAAUUCAUUUAACAAUAUACCAAGACCACUUGGUUCAAAUUUGGUAUUUAACCAAACCGCAUCUUCAUUUAUCGACACUCUGUAACCCCAUGGGGAUUCUCACUCUUUUCUAUUUAUUCCUAAAUUUAUGUAAUAAAAUCACUUGCUUUGCCUUUGAUUCGUGGUCUAUUUGGCAAACCAUUUGCAAAAGCAUUAUACUCUUUAUUAUUUAAUCAACAGUUUUUUUUAAGAAAGGUUAUUUACAUAACUAUCAAUGAUUGCAAAAAUCUAUGAUCAGACCUAUCAAUUACAUAGUGUGUUGAAAGUUGAAACCAUCGUUGCAUCAUUCCUCCCAAUUUGUGAUCGAACCGAUACCGCAAGGAUUGUAUUUUUAUUUAAUCAACAAUUACUAAAAAUAUAUGUUGAAAAGUAUUUAUAACAUAUAAUUACUUUCCAAAUGUUAGUUGUUCAAUGCUUUCAUACAGAACUUUUGGUAUACUAUUUACAUUUGUUGUAAAGCCCUUUUUCAAAAAAAAAAUAUUUACAUUUGCAAUAUAUAUUAGUUAAAAAAUAAUUAUAUACAAUUAGUUUAUUUUAUUUAAUAAUAUCAAAUUUUGUGUUUAUAUCCAAAAGUAACUUUUAUAUUUUAAAAACAAAAAUUUUAAAAUAAUAUUUCACAUUUAUAAUUUAAUUGAAUAUAUCUAAUUAAAUACGAUUCAUUAUCUUAAAUAACAAAAAUAUGAUGUAAAUGUAUUUAUAUUAUUUAAAUAACUUAUAUAUCAGUUACUGAUCUAUCACCGUUCGUUUAGCGCCUAUCGCUUUUUUGAACAUUAUAAAAACAAAAGAGCUCAAUUAUUUUCUUGCUUUGUUCUUUUAAUUUUAGUUAUGCAGUUUUUCAAAAAUAUAUAAUGAAAACAUAAAAGUAAGAGAUAUAUUGAGAUACAAGUUUCGUAAUAGACCCUUUGAGAUACUCUCAAGAAAUUCACAAGCCAUCUGUCAAUUUAUAAGUGGAUUUUUCCUUUUCAAAAUUUUUAAAUUUAUUUAAUUAUAAAAACAAUAUUAAAGUAGUAUUAUUUAUUUUAUAUACUCAAUUUGGAGUUAUAAUAGCUCUUAAGCCUUGAUUGUUAGAAUUGAUGAUAAAGCAAUAAUAUCAAAACAUUAUAGACUGUUGUAAAAGCUGUGUGCUUUUACUAAUAUACUCCGUAUAGAUAGCUUUUUUAAACAUGGAUUUUUAUAAACAUUUAUUGCUUUUCAGCAAAAAAAUUUUUUUUAGCAAUUUUACAGAUUAUAUUUAAGAUCAAAUGAUUUUAGUAGCCUACGAUUUUUAAAACAAUGGAAAAAAAAAGUCAGCUUAAACCCGGGUCUGAACCCGCAAUAUAUUUGUCUGAAAUGUCUUCGAGUUUUUAUUAAAUACGGCCAUUAAUGUGGCAGUGUCUUUUAAUGCAAGUUAUUGGUACGGUUAGAUCUUUCGUGUAUUAAAUUCUUCUGAUGACAGGGCAUAUAACAUUAAAUGUUUCUAUCUUUUAGUAUCUGUUUUUCUCGAUUAGGGCAUAUGGUCAGAAAGGAACAUCAUACCCAAGAUAGAGUAGAAUAUUCUUAAUUCUAGUCCUGUUUACCUACUAAUUGCCUUUGUUAAUAAACCCACCCAAAUCUGUAGCAUGGUGCGUCUCUUUUUCUGCUAAGAACAUUUCCAAAAGACAUUUUAUAACUUUAAAUAUGAAGUUUUUUAUUCUUUAAAAAGGAACUUCAAAACUUCAAAUUUAAAGUUUUGAAGAGUGAAACUCUAUAUUUGAAGUUUCACUACUCAAAACUUCAAAUUUGAAGUUUCAUAUUUUAUUUGCAUUUUGGUUCCUACAAUCACACACCACUUUUAUGAUUCAUGAAUAUUUUCUCGUUUAUUGUUUUAAUCUUUUAAAAAUAUAUAUCUCAUAAAUAUUAAUUUUUUUACAGAUUUUAAAUUUUACACAUAAAAUUAAAUAAAACUUUAAAAUAAGAUUUUAAAUAUCUAAAACUAGAUUUAGACAACAAUAAUAUACAAACGAAACUUAACAAUUUUUUUAAAAAAAUUUACAUGAAGACAUAACUAGUACACAAAUUUAAAUAUUACAACAACACUAAUAGUCAGGUAACUUUGAUCCAGAAACUUCAAAAUUUUUAAAUAUUGUCCAAUUUUGUUUUGUGUAACUUAAGAUGGUUGUUGUUGUUGUUUUUGAUGUAUUUUUCGUACAAUUUUUUCUUGUUCAUAUCGAAUAUAUUCACGAGUAUUAAUAUCAUUGAAAAGAAAUUAGUCUCUUAGUAAUAUUUUAUGUUUCUCUUUUACUUUCUUGUUCCGAUCUAAUGUAUUUACAAGUAUCAAUAUCACCCGAUUUCAACAAAUUUUAGCUCGUAAUCUACAAAGUAAAAAUGAAGAGAGCCAUUUUAAUUUUGAUAUACACUAAUAGAUCAUAUAUGCAUUACGAAAAUCAUUUUAUAGAAUAAUAUUGUAUUUUUUUUGAAGUUCAAUAUUAAUUAAGUUAUUUUUAUUUAAAUUUUUAUAUUUUAAUAGAAUAUUUUAUUAGUUAAUAUUGUUGUAAUAUGUUUAUAUAUCUACUAAUUAUUUACAAUAUAAGGACCAUAUUAUAAAAUAUAAAUAGUUUUGAAGUUGAGUUUGAAGUUUUGCUUUUGGAGAAGAAUACCUUUAAACUUUAAAUAUAGAGUUUUGGAAACUUCAAAAUAGAGUUUCUUUUUGGAGAUGCUCUAAAUAAUAUGUAGUGUUCCUUUUUUACACUAUUCAAAUUAAAUUUUAGGAGAACAAACCAUUUCAUAUAUUUCACAUAAAAAAUCAAGAUGCACUGCCAAAAACCAUGUCAAUAUAUGUAGUACAUAUAGAGAAUGCAGUAUUUCCGAUAUAUUUUAUAAGAAUAUGGGCAAUCUUCUCCAAAUCUUGUAAUUAUGUGUUACGUUUUACAAGUUCAUCAAUUCACGAAAA
This is a long non-coding RNA of Brassica napus (rape), 3251 nucleotides long. RefSeq lists it as uncharacterized. Lineage: Eukaryota; Viridiplantae; Streptophyta; Magnoliopsida; Brassicales; Brassicaceae. The transcript is spliced from 2 exons. The record is from RefSeq and is a predicted model, not a curated record.